This 310-nucleotide ribosomal RNA is filed under the name uncultured bacterium. RNAcentral describes it as "bacterial SSU rRNA". It matches the Rfam family "Bacterial small subunit ribosomal RNA", at positions 335 to 634 of the family's 1533-position model. The record is from RNAcentral.
ACUCCUACGGGAGGCAGCAGUGGGGAAUAUUGCACAAUGGGGAACCCGUAGCAUGCAGCCAUGCCGCGUGUGUGAAGAAGGCCUUCGGGUUGUAAAGCACUUUCAGUAGGGAGGAAGGUAGUGUAGUUAACACCUGCAUUAUUGACGUUAGCGACAGAAGAAGCACCGGCUAACUCCGUGCCAGCAGCCGCGGUAAUACGGAGGGUGCGAGCGUUAAUCGGAAUUACUGGGCGUAAAGCGCAUGCAGGUGGUUUGUUAAGUCAGAUGUGAAAGCCCGGGCUCAAGGCCUCAGGCAAUUGCAUUGGAAAUC